RNAcentral lists this ribosomal RNA (427 nucleotides) under uncultured Macellibacteroides sp. RNAcentral's name for it is "bacterial SSU rRNA". It matches the Rfam family "Bacterial small subunit ribosomal RNA", at positions 355 to 779 of the family's 1533-position model. The record is from RNAcentral. Lineage: Bacteria; Pseudomonadati; Bacteroidota; Bacteroidia; Bacteroidales; Porphyromonadaceae.
UGAGGAAUAUUGGUCAAUGGGCGAGAGCCUGAACCAGCCAAGUCGCGUGAAGGAAGAAGGAUCUAUGGUUCGUAAACUUCUUUUUUAGGGGAAUAAAGUGCGGUACGUGUACCGUUUUGUAUGUACCCUACGAAUAAGGAUCGGCUAACUCCGUGCCAGCAGCCGCGGUAAUACGGAGGAUCCGAGCGUUAUCCGGAUUUAUUGGGUUUAAAGGGUGCGUAGGCGGGUUUUUAAGUCAGUGGUGAAAGUUUGCAGCUCAACUGUAAAAUUGCUAUUGAAACUGAAGACCUUGAGUGUAAAUGAGGUAGGCGGAAUGUGUUGUGUAGCGGUGAAAUGCUUAGAUAUGACACAGAACACCGAUUGCGAAGGCAGCUUACUAAGAUACAACUGACGCUGAGGCACGAAAGCGUGGGGAUCGAACAGGAUU